UGGGGAAUAUUGCACAAUGGGCGCAAGCCUGAUGCAGCCAUACCGCGUGUGUGAAGAAGGCUUUCGGGUUGUAAAGCACUUUCAGCGAGGAGGAAGGAGUUGUAGUUAAUACCUGCAACUAUUGACGUUACUCGCAGAAGAAGCACCGGCUAACUCCGUGCCAGCAGCCGCGGUAAUACGGAGGGUGCAAGCGUUAAUCGGAAUUACUGGGCGUAAAGCGCGCGUAGGCGGCUUGUUAAGCUAGAUGUGAAAGCCCCGGGCUCAACCUGGGAACUGCAUUUAGAACUGACUCGCUAGAGUACAGUAGAGGGUGGUGGAAUUUCCAGUGUAGCGGUGAAAUGCGUAGAGAUUGGAAGGAACAUCAGUGGCGAAGGCGGCCACCUGGACUGAUACUGACGCUGAGGUGCGAAAGCGUGGGGAGCAAACAGG
RNAcentral lists this ribosomal RNA (429 nucleotides) under uncultured bacterium. RNAcentral's name for it is "bacterial SSU rRNA". It matches the Rfam family "Bacterial small subunit ribosomal RNA", at positions 355 to 776 of the family's 1533-position model. The record is from RNAcentral.